AUGCGCCACAUGGGCAUUUCCAUGAUUUGGAGCUGCACCAUCCGUGUUCAGCUGCAAGGAAUCGUCACUGUUAGUUUCCGGAGUAUCAUUCAGAUCAAUGCCAUCCUCUUCUUCUUGGUGCGCAGCAUUUUGCAGAUCAUUAUCAAGGAAAAUCGAUGGCUCCACAGCAACAUUCUGCAACAAAAUGAGCGCCCAAGUCAUUUUUUGUUUUGCUGCGUGAAAAACCAUGCAAAAAGUGCGAACAAAAAAAGAGGACACACCAUGUCAAUCACAAUUCCAAAAACAAUUCCUACAUGCAACAUUUUAGGAUGUAGCAUGUAA
RNAcentral lists this ribosomal RNA (321 nucleotides) under Triticum aestivum (bread wheat). Its description in RNAcentral is "partial small subunit ribosomal RNA". The record is from RNAcentral. Lineage: Eukaryota; Viridiplantae; Streptophyta; Magnoliopsida; Poales; Poaceae.